Molecule: ribosomal RNA, 470 nt
Filed under: uncultured bacterium
Lineage: Bacteria
Description: partial 16S ribosomal RNA
Rfam family: Bacterial small subunit ribosomal RNA
Source: RNAcentral
GACGAACGCUGGCGGCGUGCUUAACACAUGCAAGUCGAACGGUGAUGCUCCAGCUUGCUGGAGUGGAUCAGUGGCGAACGGGUGAGUAAUACGUGAGUAACCUGCCCUUGACUCUGGGAUAAGCCUGGGAAACUGGGUCUAAUACUGGAUACGACAUGCCACUGCAUGGUGGUGUGUGGAAAGGGUUUUACUGGUUUUGGAUGGGCUCACGGCCUAUCAGCUUGUUGGUGGGGUAAUGGCCUACCAAGGCGACGACGGGUAGCCGGCCUGAGAGGGUGACCGGCCACACUGGGACUGAGACACGGCCCAGACUCCUACGGGAGGCAGCAGUGGGGAAUAUUGCACAAUGGGCGGAAGCCUGAUGCAGCGACGCCGCGUGGGGGAUGACGGCCUUCGGGUUGUAAACCUCUUUCAGCACGGAAGAAGCGAGAGUGACGGUACGUGCAGAAGAAGCGCCGGCUAACUACGUG